This 369-nucleotide ribosomal RNA is filed under the name uncultured organism. Its description in RNAcentral is "bacterial SSU rRNA". It matches the Rfam family "Bacterial small subunit ribosomal RNA", at positions 526 to 896 of the family's 1533-position model. The record is from RNAcentral.
CGUAGGUGGCAAGCGUUGUCCGGAUUUAUUGGGUUUAAAGGGUGCGUAGGUGGCCCUGUAAGUCAGUGGUGAAAUAUCUCAGCUUUAACUGAGAGGGUGCCAUUGAUACUGCAGGGCUUGAGUACAGAUGAGGUGGGCGGAAUUGACGGUGUAGCGGUGAAAUGCAUAGAUAUCGUCAAGAACACCGAUAGCGAAGGCAGCUUACCAAGCUGUAACUGACACUGAGGCACGAAAGUGUGGGGAUCAAACAGGAUUAGAUACCCUGGUAGUCCACACUGUAAACGUUGAUGACUCGAUGUUGGCGAUACACAGCCAGCGUCCAAGAGCAAUCGUUAAGUCAUCCACCUGGGGAGUACGCCGGCAACGGUG